UACGUAGGGUGCGAGCGUUGCCCGGAUUUAUUGGGCGUAAAGGGCGCGUAGGCGGCCACGCACGUCCGUUGUGAAAUCGCCCGGCUCAACUGGGCGGGGUCGGCGGAUACGGCGUGGCUGGAGCAAGCUAGGGGGCAAUGGAAUUCCCGGUGUAGUGGUGGAAUGCGUAGAUAUCGGGAGGAACACCAGUGGCGAAGGCAGAUCUCUGGGCCGUAACUGACGCUGAGGAGCGAAAGCAUGGGGAGCGAACAGG
This 253-nucleotide ribosomal RNA is filed under the name uncultured bacterium. Its description in RNAcentral is "partial 16S ribosomal RNA". It matches the Rfam family "Bacterial small subunit ribosomal RNA", at positions 524 to 776 of the family's 1533-position model. The record is from RNAcentral.